GACGAACGCUGGCGGCGUGCUUAACACAUGCAAGUCGAGCGAACGGACGAGAAGCUUGCUUCUCUGAUGUUAGCGGCGGACGGGUGAGUAACACGUGGAUAACCUACCUAUAAGACUGGGAUAACUUCGGGAAACCGGAGCUAAUACCGGAUAAUAUUUUGAACCGCAUGGUUCAAAAGUGAAAGACGGUCUUGCUGUCACUUAUAGAUGGAUCCGCGCUGCAUUAGCUAGUUGGUAAGGUAACGGCUUACCAAGGCAACGAUGCAUAGCCGACCUGAGAGGGUGAUCGGCCACACUGGAACUGAGACACGGUCCAGACUCCUACGGGAGGCAGCAGUAGGGAAUCCUCCGCAAUGGGCGAAAGCCUGACGGAGCAACGCCGCGUGAGUGAUGAAGGUCUUCGGAUCGUAAAACUCUGUUAUUAGGGAAGAACAUAUGUGUAAGUAACUGUGCACAUCUUGACGGUACCUAAUCAGAAAGCCACGGCUAACUACGUG
RNAcentral lists this ribosomal RNA (497 nucleotides) under uncultured bacterium. RNAcentral describes it as "partial 16S ribosomal RNA". It matches the Rfam family "Bacterial small subunit ribosomal RNA", at positions 28 to 507 of the family's 1533-position model. The record is from RNAcentral.